UCAAGCUGGGGAUUAGAACAAAUCUGUUAGAAAUAAUCUGUUGGGGAUGAGAUGAACACUGGGAACACCACCCUCUUGUCCGUUGGGUAUGCAACCACUCCGCUGUUGCUAGGAAGAUACAGUCUGACACUGUCAACUCCGCUGGGGAUAUAUAGUCUGGAUACUGUCAACUCUACUGGGGAUAGACAGUCUGGAUACUGUCAACUCUGUUGGGG
RNAcentral lists this long non-coding RNA (215 nucleotides) under Lathyrus oleraceus (garden pea). RNAcentral describes it as "Pisum sativum (pea) long non-coding RNA (PSAT_LNC013902)". The record is from RNAcentral. Lineage: Eukaryota; Viridiplantae; Streptophyta; Magnoliopsida; Fabales; Fabaceae.